UUACAAGAGAGAACACUAAGUUUACUUGUCGGAGAGCAGCGGGCAAACAACAAAUGAUAAAGGACAUUCCUACUUGGUCUUUGAACAGACUCAGAAGAAUUGGAGAAACUGAGGAGGAGUUUCAAUAUCUGGAAAAGUGGUUGGAAAUUGAAAAGAUCCAGGCAGCAAAAGUGUCAAAGUUGUGCAGAAUUGAAG
Sinocyclocheilus grahami is the source of this 195-nucleotide long non-coding RNA. RefSeq lists it as uncharacterized. The transcript is spliced from 3 exons. NCBI's taxonomy places the organism in Eukaryota, Metazoa, Chordata, Actinopteri, Cypriniformes, Cyprinidae. The record is from RefSeq and is a predicted model, not a curated record.